RNAcentral lists this small nucleolar RNA (107 nucleotides) under Collybiopsis luxurians FD-317 M1. RNAcentral describes it as "Gymnopus luxurians FD-317 M1 Small nucleolar RNA Z13/snr52". It matches the Rfam family "Small nucleolar RNA Z13/snr52". Rfam says of the family: Z13 or snr52 is a member of the C/D class of snoRNA which contain the C (UGAUGA) and D (CUGA) box motifs. The record is from Rfam by way of RNAcentral. Lineage: Eukaryota; Fungi; Basidiomycota; Agaricomycetes; Agaricales; Omphalotaceae.
CCUCUUUUUUUGAUGAAAAUAAUUGCGGAUGUUAGAGUCAAAAGACUCGUUUCCGAGAGCGCAUAAACCUCAUGUGGAUCAUUCCGCUGCCUUCCUUCUGAUUAGUU